UGCGCAGGCGGCCCGAUAAGUCAGAGGUGAAAUAUGACGGCUCAACCGUCAAACGGCCCCUGAAACUGUCAGGCUUGAGUUCGAGAGAGGUAGGUGGAAUUCCAGGUGUAGCGGUGAAAUGCGUAAAUAUCUGGAGGAACACCGGUGGCGAAGGCGGCCUACUGGCUCGAUACUGACGCUCAGGCACGAAAGCAUGGGGAGCGAACAGGAUUAGAUACCCUGGUAGUCC
Molecule: ribosomal RNA, 229 nt
Filed under: uncultured bacterium
Lineage: Bacteria
Description: partial 16S ribosomal RNA
Rfam family: Bacterial small subunit ribosomal RNA
Source: RNAcentral